UUUACCUAAUNCCUUCAGUCUAGCUCAGGCUGGUGCAACUCAAUGGGAGCGUUUUGUACCGUAUAGAUUCAUCGUACAACCACCAUUAGCGCUGUAUGUCUCGGCUACGGUUGGGCACCGUCGCACCGGUCGUGCGCCUUGGCCUUGGCCGUUAUUCGCUGGGAUUUGAAUUUGUCAUGUGUUUCGGUUACUUACUGUAUGUUCACUAUGUUCUCCGUCCUCGAUUUAUUCUUAUAUUUUUUGUAAGCUAUUAACUAUUAAGUAUUAUUGCUAUUUGAUAUUUUUCCUCGAAAGUUGCAAUUCUGUAUCGGUGUUGUCUAUAUAUCAUAUAUAGUAUAUACUCUGCAUAAUAUACUCCUUAGUCCUUAAUUGUUACUUGUUUAUGAUGCCAUCUAAGAACGUUUCGAAGUGUGUUGUACAUGGCUGUAAAUCCAAAGAUGUGGUCUGCCAUCGAUUUCCAAAUCCACGUUCUGAUAUGCCCAGACUUAUAGAAUGGAUUAAAAUUGUAGGUUUAGAUAACAUAGAUCCAAAUACUGUUUAUAAAACAAAAUUUAUAUGUGCUAUGCAUUUCACACCAGACUGCUCAAGUCCAGGCACCAAGCGACUUAAUGCAAAUGCAUACCCGCUUAUUAAUUUACCAAGAACCAACAUUAGCAUACCCAAGACAAUAGUGUCCCACAAUACUUUGGCUGUCAAACAAUGAUGUUUCUGAUCCGAGUUCAUCUGUGUCACACAAUAAUGACAGAGAAGUACAAAGUUUAAAAUCUACAUUAAC
This 775-nucleotide unclassified non-coding RNA is filed under the name Diuraphis noxia (Russian wheat aphid). RNAcentral describes it as "tHAP domain-containing protein 1-like, transcript variant X2". The record is from RNAcentral. Lineage: Eukaryota; Metazoa; Arthropoda; Insecta; Hemiptera; Aphididae.